AUGAGACGACUAGUUGCCUCACAGGAGCUAUUGCUGGUUCUGCUGAUUUCGCUGCAGUGUCUUUCCUGCCUUGCAAUUGCAAAUCCUGCGUUGGAUCGCCAAGCUGAAGCACUUCUCCAAUGGAAAUCUGGUCUAAGGGGCGAUCUCUCCUACUGCGGGCUAGAGGAAUGGAGCAACGCAACCAGCCCAUGCAACUGGUCAGGCAUAUACUGCAGCUACAAGGUGCGCCGUGGCCAUGAGCGUGAUGCCAUCCUAGUUGUGACAAACAUUACACUUUUCUCAUGUAACAUCUCCGGUGGUUUGAGCAAGCUCCGAUUUGCACAAUUGCCUCAUCUUGUCUUUCUCGACCUUAGCAUUAACUCUCUCUAUGGACCAAUUCCGUCUGAUAUUGGUCGUCUUGCUGAGCUCUCUUACUUGGAUCUCUCUAACAAUAAGCUCACUGGAUCCAUCCCGCCAUCGAUAGAAUUGUAUCUCUCCAUAAAUGAAAUCACGGGUUUCAUUCCUGAAAGUAUAGGAAAUUUAAGGAGUUUAAUAAAAUUGUAUCUCUCCACAAAUGAAAUCACGGGUUCCAUUCCUGAAAGUAUAGGAAAUCUAACGAGCUUACAAAACAUGGAUCUUUCCAACAACCGAAUCAUUGGCCCCAUCCCUUCAACCUUUUCGAAACUUAUAUCUUUAAUAACACUGAAACUUGAGUCCAAUGUGCUAAAUGAUAUACUGCCACCAGAACUAGGAUUUCUACGUAAUCUUUUUGUUCUAGAUCUAAGCAGCAAUCAGUUUACGGGAAGCAUUCCACCUCAGAUAGGACAGUUUCACUAUUUGUCCUUGUUGCGCCUGCGAAACAACUUACUGACAGGACCAAUACCAGAAGAGCUUGGGUAUUGUACCGACCUAACUGAGUUGGAUUUGAGCAGAAAUAAUUUAAGUGGUGCCAUACCAAUGACUUUCAUGAUGCUUUACCGAUUACUUGAGCUGAAUUUAUCAUACAACAGUUUGGGCGGCAGAUUUUUUGGUUUCUACACAACUGAAGCCUCUUCUGUAGUUUCACUAGACCAUAAUACAGGUAUCUGUGGUGAUCCAUUAUAUGGCUUGACACCGUGUCAACCAUCAAAUCCAAAUCCUGACAGUUUACAUACAAAUGAAAAUUCCGACAGUAAACAUCUUGUUCCGAGGCUACUUCUUGCCUUUGCAAUGUUUUCUUGCAUCUGGCUCGUGGGUGGAAGCAUCACAGUG
RNAcentral lists this long non-coding RNA (1230 nucleotides) under Oryza sativa Indica Group (long-grained rice). Its description in RNAcentral is "lncRNA OsKYG_02g0012000". Lineage: Eukaryota; Viridiplantae; Streptophyta; Magnoliopsida; Poales; Poaceae. The record is from RNAcentral.